Molecule: long non-coding RNA, 335 nt
Filed under: Elaeis guineensis (African oil palm)
Lineage: Eukaryota; Viridiplantae; Streptophyta; Magnoliopsida; Arecales; Arecaceae
Description: long non-coding RNA (EGUI_LNC011145)
Source: RNAcentral
CUUCUGCAGAAGGCCGUUGAUCGAGGUGAGGACAGUUCAGUUUUGCCUAGGAUGUCAAUGGUCAACUACUUCUGAGGCUGAAUUUAUUCAGUUUGAGCCAAGUCCUUGAAUGGGAAUUUUCUUUUCUGUGAUAAAUAAAGUUCAAUAAGUCCGGUUGAUCACGUGCUUGAGCAUGGUUUGGAGUUCAGAGAGCGCUCAUAUGUUCUUGUUAACUACAACAAGAUUCAGCCUCCUGAUCCGCACACCAAUUCCAUCAAUUGUUCUGGGUUGUAACUUUUGCACGAAAGAAUGAUUGAUUUUCUUUCGCAACAUCAACCAUUGGAUUGUAUUUUGCA